This is a long non-coding RNA of Drosophila mojavensis, 3764 nucleotides long. RefSeq lists it as uncharacterized. NCBI's taxonomy places the organism in Eukaryota, Metazoa, Arthropoda, Insecta, Diptera, Drosophilidae. The record is from RefSeq and is a predicted model, not a curated record. The transcript has 2 exons.
AAAUCUCAAAAAAAAAUCAAGCAAAGCAAAUAAAUAAACAAUCACGAUAUAAGAAAUUCUAAAUAAAGACGAACACUAUGGAAAGAAACAAAACUAGCCUCUCUCCUGGAUCCACGGAGUACUUACAACCUGGACAUAGCUACAAAUAAGAGCAUCGACAGCAGCGCCUUCUUCUGUCUUCCCCUCCGGGCCACUGAAGACUGGAUGACAGCGACUGAUGACGCCCCUAGAGUUAUCAAAUCAACAAUACAACUAACAAACCAGCUAAAUGUAAUUAUAUUUAAGAAUAGUAAUCCAAAUUAAAUUUAAAGAAUAGUAAUCCAAAUUGAAUUUAAAGAAUAGUAAUCUAAAUUGAAUUUAACGAAGAAAAUCUGACUUAGUCUUUACUCUUCCCCACCAAAUUAAAUCUGUAUAAAUAACUACAACUUUACUAGAUAGAUAUAUAUAUGUAUAUAAAAAAGAAAACACUCAAUUAUUUGUAAAAUUCAAACUUUAUUAAUAAACACUUAUAUUAAGUUUCGCCUACUACUAGCUUAUAAUACUUACCACAUAAGUGAAUUGUAAAUAAGCUGCCAACUAAUUUCUAGAAAGUACUAACGCAAAGCACUGAGAAAUGAAUAAAGACACCCUGUUCCCUCUUCUCUCACCUUUACGCUGCUGGGCAGCCUAAAGCUUGAGGCGAGAAAAAGCAGGGCAAUUGUGUAUGUGAUUCCCUCGCAUGCAGGCUGAAAAGUUUAUACUCUCAUUAAUCAAACAAGAACACUUAAUACAAGUACUAGACAGUGGCAUCUUCAAGCGCUAUCUGAAAGAUACAACUCAUUAAAAUUUUACUGCUGAAUUAAAGAUACAAAAUAGACAAAUUAAUACUUACAAUCAACAAGCUGCUUGCGGCAAAACCUAAACUAAAACAAAAACAAAACAAAUAAAUAAAUAAAUAAAAAUAAAUAAAAAUAAAAAAAUAAAUAAAUAAAAAAAAAAUAACUAGAUUAGGCAACAGUAAUAAUUGAACAAAACUGGGAAGCUAUGAAAUUAUACUCUAAUAAGGAAAAUAAACAAAUGCUCUGCAACUUGCCCGCACACCUACAACUAUCUAGUGAAAUAAUAUACCUGCAGCAAACAAAUAACAUAAUUCGCUAUAGCUAACUUAUAAAAACAAAAGUAUACAAUAAUCCUCACAUCUACAAUCUACAAGCCCCUAAAUCAUAAAUAGUCAAAUUUAUACUUACAAUCAACAAGCUGCUCGCUGCAAAACCUAAACUAAAACAAAAACAAAAAAAAAAUAAAAAUAAAUAAAUAAACAAAAAUAAAAAAAAUAACUAGAAUAACAUAAUUUCACUAUAACUAACUAAUAAUAACAAUAUUAUACAAUAUUCCUCACAAAUACAAACUACAAGCCUCCUAAACGAUAAAAACUGGUAAACUAUUUGACAUCCCCAACAUAUUAAUGCAAUUCUAAAUAUCUAAUAAUAUAAUACAAUACAACUAACUAGUAAUUACACUAUAACUAACUAAUAAUAAUAAUAUAACUAAUAAAACAACAAUCAGAUAAAAAAAUAAAAAUAAAAAUCAAACAAUAAAUAUAUAUAGCACAUAACAACCAAACACUAAAUCAAACGCUAAUACUGAAGACAAGACAAGUCUAAGCAAGGAAAAGAAGCUGACAAAGCAGUAAUCUUCAACAAGAAACAAAAGGAAGCAACUUUGAUACCCACCCUCGCACGUAUUGCUCACAAAAAAUAAGAAUAAAUAAAUAAAAUAAAUAAACAAAUAAAAUAAAAUAAAAAUAAAAAUAUAUAAAUUAUAAAAGACCUAUUAAAUAACAACUUAGCUACCUGCGUAUAAUAAAUAAACUUAAUAUAAUCCAAACAUAAACACCUAGUACGAACACAUCCUAAAGUACGCUAUUUGUCAAAAUUCGAUAGCCACAAAGGAAACAAAUACUCUGCGCCAUAUAUUAAAACUCAAAUUACCCCAGGCAAAUGCAAUCUUAAACUUAAACUACUACACUAAAUAACAAGACAAAUAUUCCUAAAAGACUAAAAUUCACUAAAUGAAACAAAGUCUAAACAAACAAUAACUCAGACUAAGGGAAACAAGCAAAACAAUAAACUAAUGACAAUUCUACAAACAAAACAAUAACCUAAGAAUAACAAAUAACCUAUUUAUAUACUAUAAAAUCAGACUUGGUAACUUUCCACGUCUUAUCUGGAAAUAAAAAGAUUUAUAAUAAUAAAGCCAGUCCUUUUGCUACAUAUAUAAGCACAUACUCACCCAUCCAUCAUCAACUUGGCUGUCCUCUCUGGUGCCACCUGCAAUGAAACAAAUUACAUUGAAACAAUAUAAACAACUUUAAACUAUAACACAGUACUCACCAAACAAUAAUUAAUUCCUGAAUCCUAAUAAAUUGAAACUACUUACCAAACGAAUCCAACCACCAAAUAAGAACAAAGCUGAAAAUACACAAAAUGUUUAAAAUUCGAUAACGAUAAAAUUGUACAAAAUACUAAAACUCGAUAAUGAUAAAGUAAGCAACCCUACUCAAAGAUAAAUUGACGCGCAAGCUACGCUAGCACAAAUUUAACAAAUACCGCGCGCGAACACAAAUAAUUCUACGAUCCAAUAAAAUAAAUCAUCGCAAUACAUGCAGUUGAACUACUCCAAUAAAUAAAUCACCGCAAUACAUGCAGUUGAACUACUCCUGCCGACAACUUUUAAUGAUACUUAAUAUAAUAAAUAUGCAAGUAAACGAUGAAAACAAAUAUGUACUUACCAAUCUUACAACAUGGCCGCCUCAACUAAUUCCUGCUGCAAAUAAAGACUAAAAACACAAGCAACAAAACAAAACGGGCUAAACUUCUAAUUACAUAUGCAACACUCGCAACAAAACUUUCUAAUAAAAGUGCAAAACCCUAAGUAAAAACAAAAUAAAUACGCUAAACAACCAUAAUUAUAAAUAAAUAAUCGAUUUAACAAAGCAAAUAAUAAAAACACUUAACAAUAAAUUAAUAAAUAAAACAAAUGUUAAAAUGGAUAGACAAAACAAAUAAAUAAACUUAUAACUAAUACACGAUAUUUCAAUAAUAUACCCACCUCGCUAUACACGCUACUGAGUGAAUCUUGCAGUCAAAUCUAACAAACAAAAAAUAAAUAAAUAAUAAUAAUAAAUCCAAAAACUUAAAUAUAAACAAAGUUAAAGCCCAUAGCAAGCUAAUAAUAAAUUAAUAUUCUUACUAAUAAAACCAACAAUAAAUAAAAAUCUCAAAAAAAAUCAAGCAAAGCAAAUAAAUAAACAAUCACGAUAUAAGAAAUUCUAAAUAAAGACGAACACUAUGGAAAGAAACAAAGUAAGCAAAAGCCAGAAAAUAAAGGGUGCCUAUGAAUAAAUAGCAAGUCUCAGACUAGCCUCUCUCCUGGAUCCACGGAGUACUUACAACCUGGACAUAGCUACAAAUAAGAGCAUCGACAGCAGCGCCUUCUUCUGUCUUCCCCUCCGGGCCACUGAAGACUGGAUGACAGCGACUGAUGACGCCCCUAGAGUUAUCAAAUCAACAAUACAACUAACAAACCAGCUAAAUGUAAUUAUAUUUAAGAAUAGUAAUCCAAAUUAAAUUUAAAGAAUAGUAAUCCAAAUUGAAUUUAAAGAAUAGUAAUCUAAAUUGAAUUUAACGAAGAAAAUCUGACUUAGUCUUUACUCUUCCCCACCAAAUUAAAUCUGUAUAAAUAACUACAACUUUACUAGAUAGAUAUAUAUAUGUAUAUAAAAA